AUUCCUACUCUUUGAUGUUUACUGAGUCCUCUGGAAUCAGGCAGAAAAAUUCCCUCCCCUCCCUUUCUACCCUGUGGCCCUCCAGGCUCUAAAGAAAGCUUCCAGAACUCUCUUUCUCUCAUUCUCUUUCUCCUUCCCUCUUUCUCCCUCUCUCGUUCUCACACACACACACACACACUCCCUCCCUCCCUCCGGAGAAGGGUAAACUCGACCUCCCACCCUCCUGCCUCCACCUGAGAUCGGCAGCUUUAACGCAGCACCUGAAGGAAACCUCACUGUGGUUGAGAAGAAGGAGCUGUUAAGCCCCAGGAAACCGGAAGAGGGAGCACUGAUCUCAGCACAGAAGGAUGAUCGCACCUCAACAUCAAUAGGCCUGAGCAUCUCUGACUUUAGCACCGGAAAGACUACGGAAGUAUCAGCUUCCUCCCUGAAAAGCAGCUCGAAGGACUGGCUUCUCUAAGGGAAAGAUGUGUAGCCCUGUGUCCUGGGCCCUGGGUUCCCCUUACUGGAGUGAUGGAUAAAGCAGACAGAUGCACAGGCACAGCUGCCAGGCUCUGUGGUCACCCUGUUCACCCACCUCAUGCUGCAUCUCUCCUCCAACGGGGAGGGGUACCAACGGGAAAACACGCUUCUAGGUAAUCAAAUAUGAGACGCAAGCAACUUCCCCCCAGUCUCAUGAGACAGAUGGACACUUGGAAAGAGAGAGAGAAAACCACCAAAGUUUCAUGAUGUAGCAGGGCAAGCUGCCUCAGGCAAGCCGGCGCUCACCUCUUUCUCUAGAUUCAGACCCUCCCUGCCGUCCCUCCGGCUCGUCAUGCAUAAUGGGAUGAAGUAUUUUCCCACAGUAAACAAGCGUGUCAGCUUGAAGACAGUUUAAAGAAAGCUCCGACUUCAGGCCCCGCUUUGAACUUCAGAAGAGCUGCCACCAUCUCAGGGCGAUGUCGUUAGCCUUGGUUUGAUGACUGCUUCUGGCUCAACCUUUAGAGCUGUCACAACAACUUGAAAGGUAGUAACGAUCCACCAGACAGAAGCGUCCCACUGCACCGCACAUCUCAGGCCCUCCUUCCAGACCCACCUCCUACGUGGCUGCCUCGGGGUAUUUCAUAAUAAAACGCGCUUUUUUGACA
Long non-coding RNA from Phacochoerus africanus (Common warthog), 1127 nucleotides. RefSeq lists it as uncharacterized. Lineage: Eukaryota; Metazoa; Chordata; Mammalia; Artiodactyla; Suidae. The transcript is spliced from 3 exons. The record is from RefSeq and is a predicted model, not a curated record.